Molecule: long non-coding RNA, 831 nt
Organism: Zalophus californianus (California sea lion)
Lineage: Eukaryota; Metazoa; Chordata; Mammalia; Carnivora; Otariidae
Exons: 2
Source: RefSeq, a predicted model, not a curated record
CGAGGCUGGACUUGGGCGGGGGUGGAGGGGAGCAGCCCCCGCGAGUGCUACCCGGUGCCCUCCGAUCCCGGCGGCGGCGGCCGGUCGAGGAGGCCUGGCCCUCGGCCGUCGGCCUCCCCCAUUGUCCGCCCGCCGCGGCCUCCUGCAACGCUGGCUGGCGGGGAAACCCGCGGCCCGGGACAGGCGUCCUUGACGUUGAUUAGCCCAGGCGGUCGUGUUUAGAAACUGCAGGCCCGGCUGUCGGUCUGCGCCGAAGCGAUCCGUUUGUCGGUUUAAUUAGAAGAGCAAAGAACCCAGGAGCAAAGGGGACAACUCUUCUCCCGAUCUAAGCCCCUGAGAGCCUUUAGUAGAAGAUACUUUCAACGUUUUUUACUGAUGACAUCUGACUAGUAACCUUCAGCGUAGGCAUCUGGAAGGCUUACUACUCUGGGGGCUGAGGGCAGGCUGCCCCAAGAUGGGCCACUCUUGGCAUGAAGGUUAUUUCGAGCUGACGGCAACGGAGACCCUGCGGGCUCAACAGAACUUUUUGCCCCUCCCUUAAUUACAUGGAAGAAUCUAAAUUGGGAGUCUUUCCAAGAACACUAGUCAUUACCAGAGAUAAAUUUUAUCUCAGGGACCCAUCGAAUGGCAGGACAAACAGCUAAUUAGCAAACAUUUGCUUUUUCUUAUUGCCCUGUGAAUUACAUUCCUUCCUUCAAAGUCCCAGACCCUUACCUUUUUCUUAAUUCGGGAUGACAUAUAUACCUCAUUUUGUCUGACUGUCUCUGGAAUUUCCAUGUCUCUGUAGAUGCCCCAUGUGUAAGCUAUUAAAUUUGAUUUUUUUCCUGCUAA